UACAGAGGGGGCAAGCGUUGUUCGGAAUUACUGGGCGUAAAGGGCGCGUAGGCGGCCUUCUAAGUCGAACGUGAAAUCCCUGGGCUCAACCCAGGAACUGCGUCCGAGACUGGGAGGCUCGAAUCCGGGAGAGGGAUGUGGAAUUCCAGGUGUAGCGGUGAAAUGCGUAGAUAUCUGGAGGAACAUCGGUGGCGAAGGCGGCAUCCUGGACCGGUAUUGACGCUGAGGCGCGAAAGCCAGGGGAGCAAACGGGAUUAGAAA
Molecule: ribosomal RNA, 261 nt
Filed under: uncultured bacterium
Lineage: Bacteria
Description: partial 16S ribosomal RNA
Rfam family: Bacterial small subunit ribosomal RNA
Source: RNAcentral